CAAAUUAAAGCUUAAAUAGUAAAGUGUUUUAUUUACAUUAAAAAUAAGUCGUGCAAAUCGAUAUAGUUUGA
This 71-nucleotide transfer RNA is filed under the name Oreodytes davisii. Its description in RNAcentral is "tRNA-Val". The record is from RNAcentral. Lineage: Eukaryota; Metazoa; Arthropoda; Insecta; Coleoptera; Dytiscidae.